GAUGAACGCUGACAGAAUGCUUAACACAUGCAAGUCAACUUGAACUUCGGUUUGGGUGGCGGACGGGUGAGUGACGCGUAAAGAACUUGCCUCACAGCUAGGGACAACAUUUGGAAACGAAUGCUAAUACCUGAUAUUAUGAUUUUAGGGCAUCCUAGAAUUAUGAAAGCUAUAUGCGCUGUGAGAGAGCUUUGCGUCCCAUUAGCUAGUUGGAGAGGUAACGGCUCACCAAGGCGAUGAUGGGUAGCCGGCCUGAGAGGGUGAACGGCCACAAGGGGACUGAGACACGGCCCUUACUCCUACGGGAGGCAGCAGUGGGGAAUAUUGGACAAUGGACCAAGAGUCUGAUCCAGCAAUUCUGUGUGCACGAUGAAGUUUUUCGGAAUGUAAAGUGCUUUCAGUUGGGAAGAAAAAAAUGACGGUACCAACAGAAGAAGUGACGGCUAAAUACGUG
RNAcentral lists this ribosomal RNA (454 nucleotides) under uncultured bacterium. RNAcentral's name for it is "partial 16S ribosomal RNA". It matches the Rfam family "Bacterial small subunit ribosomal RNA", at positions 28 to 507 of the family's 1533-position model. The record is from RNAcentral.